GAUCAUGGCUCAGGAUGAACGCUGGCGGCGUGCUUAACACAUGCAAGUCGAACGGGAAAUACUUUAUUGAAACUUCGGCGGAUUUAAUUUAUUUCUAGUGGCGGACGGGUGAGUAACGCGUGGGUAACCUGCCUUAUACUGGGGGAUAACAGCAAGAAAUGGCUGCUAAUACCGCAUAAGCGCACAGAACCGCAUGGUUCGGUGUGAAAAACUCCGGUGGUAUAAGAUGGACCCGCGUUGGAUUAGCUAGUUGG
Molecule: ribosomal RNA, 254 nt
Filed under: uncultured bacterium
Lineage: Bacteria
Description: partial 16S ribosomal RNA
Rfam family: Bacterial small subunit ribosomal RNA
Source: RNAcentral